CCUACGGGUGGCAGCAGUGGGGGAUAUUGCACAAUGGGGGAAACCCUGAUGCAGCGACGCCGCGUGAGUGAAGAAGUAGUUCGGUAUGUAAAGCUCUAUCAGCAGGGAAGAAAAUGACAGUACCUGACCAAGAAGCCACGGCUAACUACGUGCCAGCAGCCGCGGGAAUACGUAGGGGGCAAGCGUUAUCCGGAGUUACGGGGGGUCAAGGGAGCGUAGACGGUUCUGUAAGUCGGGAGUGAAAGCCCGGGGCCCAACCCCGGGACUGCUUUGGAAACGGUGUAACUGGAGUACAGGAGGGGCCGGCGCACUUCCUGUUGUAGCGGUGCACUGCGUAGAUAUCCGGAGGAACACCGGCGGCGAUGGCGGCCUGCUGGACUGCACCUGACGUUGAGGCUCG
This 400-nucleotide ribosomal RNA is filed under the name uncultured bacterium. Its description in RNAcentral is "partial 16S ribosomal RNA". It matches the Rfam family "Bacterial small subunit ribosomal RNA", at positions 338 to 755 of the family's 1533-position model. The record is from RNAcentral.